GUGCCAGCCGCCGCGGUAAUACCGGCAGCCCGAGUGAUGGCCGAUCUUAUUGGGCCUAAAGCGUCCGUAGCUGGCUGCGCAAGUCCGUCGGGAAAUCCAUUCGCCCAACGGGUGGGCGUCCGACGGAAACUGUAUAGCUUGGGACCGGAAGGCUCGAAGGGUACGUUCGGGGUAGGAGUGAAAUCCCAUAAUCCCGCACGGACCACCGAUGGCGAAAGCACCUCGGGAAAACGGAUCCUACAGUGAGGGACGAAAGCCAGGGUCUCCAACCGGAUUAGAAACCCUGGUAGUCC
RNAcentral lists this ribosomal RNA (293 nucleotides) under uncultured bacterium. RNAcentral's name for it is "partial 16S ribosomal RNA". It matches the Rfam family "Archaeal small subunit ribosomal RNA", at positions 455 to 747 of the family's 1478-position model. The record is from RNAcentral.